Molecule: long non-coding RNA, 703 nt
Organism: Triticum aestivum (bread wheat)
Lineage: Eukaryota; Viridiplantae; Streptophyta; Magnoliopsida; Poales; Poaceae
Exons: 2
Source: RefSeq, a predicted model, not a curated record
UCGAUCUGUAAUACAUGCAUACAGGCCGUUCGUUUCUAUUCCGUGCAGUUUGACCUAAUCAAGCUCCACCUGAUCUUUUUGCCGCCGCCGCCCACGCUAGGAUAGGGCUUAAUCUUUCGUUACCAUCGACCAUCGUCGCCACAGGCAUAGGCGCGCACAAUCUUUCAAAAGCACGAACCCUUCCAUGCUUGACCAGCGAUGGUUGCCGCAUGCCUGCGGCCUGCGGAAACAAUGCUCAUCCGAGCAGAUGGGACGAGCCGGGGCUGGAUUUGAUUUCUUUUCCGAGGGAUUGCCGGGGCUGGAGUUGAUACUCUAGCAAGAAAAGAGACCAUACAUGGAUAAAAAUCAUCAAUUAGAAGGAAAGAAGCAAAAUGGAGGAAGAAGGAGAUAAUUUGCUGGUGCAACAAGUGAAACAGAAGAGAAGACGAGGGGUGCCAGCAGCUUCUUGGCGUCCAACACAACCACUUUUAUAAAGGGCUCAAUACCAGAUUCACAAGGGAGCAUCAUCAAAAACCUCUAUCACCGUAACAAAAACCAUUCUCCAACCUAGUCGCUGUCAUUUCCCAUCUCAUCUCCAUAGCCACCACCAUCACCAUCACCGCAGAAAACCACCUCCAUGUUAGCCAUACUUGUAAUCGUGUAUCGCAUUCGACAACCAAUUGUAAGACAUAUUAUCAAUAAAGCAUUAUGUUUAUGUCUUUUC